AAAACACACACACUCUUAAACUAUAUAGGAAGAAAGGUAUUGCCAUACUGGAUCAGACCAGGAGUUUAUCUAAUAAAGUAUCAUGUUUCUUAGAGUGGCUAGUAUGAAAGGCUUCAAAGAUAAGUGCCUCUGGCAUUGGCCACUGUCAGAAACGGGCUGCUGUUCUAGAUGGGCUAUGGGUCUGAUCUGAUUUGGAAAACUAAAUAUACAUGUAUACAGUUACUUCCCUAUUCCUUGCCAGAAACGACUCUCAUAAACAUUUUGAUCAGGUAAACAUUGAAGAAAAAAGUAAUUUGAACUGUGCAUGCCAUACCAGUUCAAGUCUCUGAACCAUGUACUGGAAAACAUUUACAAUACCCAUAUCUAGGAAUUAAUUUCAUAUACUUAGCCUAUUCCUUUUAAACAAAAGGCUGCUCAAGGCAGUAAGUCAUGCUUUUGUACAAAAUUUCUUGCCAAACUCUUCAUAAUGCUCUCCAAUUGCAAAAUUCUUCAUCCUUUUAAAGCUAACUCUUUUCUCAAGGCACAUUUGAUUCCAUCAGCAUUUGACAUUUAUGUUUUGUGCAUUAGAACAGCAUUUUACACGGUGAAUUAGUAAAUGGGAGAGUCAAAAGCCAGCUCACUGAACAGGUUUUACCCAUAUUAUAUGAAAAGGCAUGCAAUUUAAAAAACUCAUAAUUUGAUUGUAGGAGAUGUCAGAAAAUCAUUCUGACUCAACAUAAAACACAUCAGCUUGAAACAGAACACAUGUGUUCUCAAUGAUUUCUUUAUGCAGCCUGAUAAGUUACGGUUAAUAAGCUUUAUAUGAAUUGUUUAAUGCCAUGUUUUUAUAUAAAAGCUUUUCAAAAUGCUGAAAGUCCAAACCGGUGCUAACACAACUCUACUAUUAUGUGCAAGGGGCUUGACUGGUGACAGACAUUCCACGCAGCAUUAACCCUUAGUAAACUUGAGGGGAAAUAUCUACAGAAUUAAUGUUGACUCUGUUGAAUUUUGGGAUGAAUGUAUAGACAGGAAUGCAAAGAAAGAGGCCUGACACCUGCCAUUUUGCCACUAGAAUCUGGGGCAUACAAAAAAGAGUUUAAUUCUUCAUUGGAAGUUCUGGCCUAUAUUAUGCCACCAGAAGUAUAUAAUUUCUUGAGUUACAGCUGCCCACUCUGAGCACAUUCCCCUAUUAGAAGUGCUAAGACUAUUGAGGCCUCCAUACUAUGGGGCUUUCAGUGUACCUUUGUCUCUGCUACAGCUUUUUAUGUAGGAAGUCAUGGUUUUGAGCCUCAGUGAAUCUCUUUGUCUUUGGCUGAUCUUCUAACUUAAUUUAAUAUAUGUUAUUUAUAUAGCUCCUUAGCAUUUUUCAAACAAAAUCAUGAAACAAAAUCAUUUCACUCUGUGCUUGUACAUAAUAUAAGGAGUGGCAACAAAAAUAAUGGAGCUGAAAGGAGAUUUUAUCCAGUGGGUCAAAACAGGGUUAUGACCACAAGAUCAUUUGCUUGCUUUGGCUAGGUAUGUAUGCAUCUUAAUAGUUCUGCUUUUUAAAGUUUUUGUUUGUUUAUAAAGUUAGUUUCAAUGUGUUAGAUUCACUGGAGAAACCUUUCCUUAAUUUACUAUCAACACUAUUUUUUCAAUAUAUGUUGAAAUCUUUCUUUUUGUGGAUUCUAUUAUGUACUCCUGAGGGAAUUAUGCCCCCCAAAAUUAAAAAAAUGCACCAAAAUAUAAAAAUAUUGUGCACAAUAUUAUUUUAUUUGUCAAUAAGUAAAUAAAUAUGGAGGCUCCAGCAUGCAGUGGAGAGCGCUGAUCGCUGGCUGCACAGAGGAGGGAAAUCACUCUGAAAUAGCUUCUCCCCACUUCCAACCAGGACAGGGUUUCAGCAGUGAGGCUGCACUCAAUCCUAAGGCCAUGCCAGGGCCUGGCCCGUCCCAGAAACACCCUGGGGUCAUGCCCCUCCAUGCCAGGCACAUCGGGUGUGGUUUGGCAGGCUUACUCCAGCAGGAUCUAAAUAAGGAAGGGCUUAGUUUGGGGAGAUCCAGAUGUGAGGUGAAAGAGUUCUUUGUGGGGCAAUCUGGGUAUAAGUGGCUUGGUGGGGGAUUUGGAUGUGCAGGGGAGGGUUCUGUUUGCAGACGCAAUGGGUCCGCAUUAAAAUAGAUGGGGCUCAUUGGGGAGGUUUGAGUGGGGGACUCUGGAGGAGGUCUGGGUGCUGAGCAAGUGGGGCUUGGUGGGGUGGAAGUCUGGGUGCAGAGAGCUUAUCAGGUUGGUCCAUUGGCAGAAGGGGUGUAGGCUCAUCAGGGUAGGGGUUCGAUUGGCCUGGAUAAUAGGGGGUACCCUAGUUCCUGCUGCUGAGGGGGAAUCAGAUGCCAGGUUCUUGCUUCCCCUUUUCAUUUCCCAACCCCCCUUGCUCUGCCCCAAUGCAUACAUUCACCAUUGUACAGAAAACAGUAUGGUGACCACAUAGGGCACUCAGCAUAUGUAGAAGGCGAGGGCAACAGGGAUUAGGAGCAAGGAGGUGACCUUCAACUGCAGAGUCAGAAAGGUUCUCUCCUUUCCUCAGGCAGCUCUGUGUUCACAGAAUUGGGGGAAGGUGACAUGUGACCUGCAUGCACCCUAUGUCUCAUUUUUGUUUGUGGGGGGGGGCAAGUCCCUCCUAAACUAUGCCCAUAAGCACCCCCAUCCCUGUGGUGUUUACCUCUCCAUUAGCUGUUGGAAAGGAUGUGCUUGUGCUGCUGUGAGGACUAUGUGACUGCUUUUGUGUUUCCCAUUGUUUUCCUGUUAUUUUCUGCAGGGGACAUGAAUUACACACAGUGAAGCAGAAUUCCCCCAGAAGUUAUUCUUCUCUUGUGCUUGUAACUCUCAUCUAUGUUAACUGAAGUUAUUCAUGUACAGCACUGGGUAACAGUUAAUGCAGUGUCUAUUUCUAGCUUUUAGUUCAACAUUCAGAUGCAGACUUUUAUAUAUGUGAAUGAGAUACAAGUGCUGUUUCCUUAGCAGGAGUGGCUCGAGGAGAGCUGCCGGCAACUGGCACCUUAGGCGGAAUGCGCGAUCGGCGCCCUGCCUCCAUAGUCCUUAAUGGUGUGACGUCAUCAUUUGGGCGCUACAUUAAACACGGCGCCCUAGGCAACUGCCGAGGUUGCCUACAUCCACAGGCCGCCCCUGUUCCUUACAGGUCAUAAUUUUCUAGCAGUCUAAACACUAUGUAUUGAAAAAACAAACCUCUUUUGUUGUCACAUUUUUCCUGUACACAUUACACUAUCCAUUUCAUGGACAUCGUGAUAACCCUUAACUGCCCUUGUGCUGCAUUGAUAUCCAUUUAUCAUGAAGAAACAAUACUGAUUCCACGAUUAAGGCUGAAACAUUUCUUGUCAGACAUGUGAGGUUUGUAAAACAUGCUAGCUACACUAGAUUUAGUGGCGUUUUGACAGUUCAAGUUCCUGUGCCUUGAAAUUUGAGUCCUAAUUUUUCUUUAAUUCUAUUUGUUAUUUAUAUUUGCAGAAUUCCAGAGCCCUGCAGAUCUGAGAAUGUUGGUAGAUUAUAAAGCUCCUAAUCUCUGGUUUGCCACUGUGUUUUUUCCUACACUUUGAUAAGAUAAUUCCAGAUCUGCUAAAUUCCUUAGGCUAGACUGUAGUUUUAUCAAUAACCCUCAGUAAAAGGUGGCAAAUAGCUGUCCUCUGCCAAGAGCAGCACAGACAACAGAUUGUGACUAAGUCUCUCCUUGAUUCUGCACUAGCUCCCAUGAGAGAACUGACUGGUAUGUCCUCUUCUACCCAACUACAUGGAUGGAAGGACUAAUGAUUCUGCAGAAACUGUCCUUCUUUCAUUAACAAAAAGG
This is a non-coding RNA of Pelodiscus sinensis (Chinese soft-shelled turtle), 3811 nucleotides long. NCBI's taxonomy places the organism in Eukaryota, Metazoa, Chordata, Testudines, Trionychidae. The record is from RefSeq and is a predicted model, not a curated record.